GGAUUAGAUACCCUGGUAGUCCACGCCGUAAACGAUGAUCACUAGCUAUUGGCGAUACACUGUCAGUGGCAAAGCGAAAGUGUUAAGUGAUCCACCUGGGGAGUACGAUCGCAAGGUUGAAACUCAAAGGAAUUGACGGGGGCCCGCACAAGCGGUGGAGCAUGUGGUUUAAUUCGAUGAUACGCGAGGAACCUUACCAGGGCUUAAAUGCAUAAUGACGGAUUGGGAAACCAGUCUUUCUUCGGACAUCAUGCAAGGUGCUGCAUGGCUGUCGUCAGCUCGUGUUG
RNAcentral lists this ribosomal RNA (287 nucleotides) under uncultured bacterium. Its description in RNAcentral is "partial 16S ribosomal RNA". It matches the Rfam family "Bacterial small subunit ribosomal RNA", at positions 775 to 1067 of the family's 1533-position model. The record is from RNAcentral.